Molecule: ribosomal RNA, 502 nt
Filed under: uncultured bacterium
Lineage: Bacteria
Description: bacterial SSU rRNA
Rfam family: Bacterial small subunit ribosomal RNA
Source: RNAcentral
GAUGAACGCUAGCGGCAGGCUUAAUACAUGCAAGUCGAGGGGCAGCGCGGGUAGCAAUACCUGGCGGCGACCGGCAAACGGGUGCGGAACACGUACGCAACCUUCCCAUAACUGGUGAAUAGCCUUUCGAAAGAGAGAUUAAUACACCGUAACAUAACGAAGAGGCAUCUCUUUGUUAUUAUAGGCUUCGGCCGGUUUUGGAUGGGCGUGCGCCUGAUUAGGUAGUUGGCGGGGUAACGGCCCACCAAGCCUGCGAUCAGUAACUGGUGUGAGAGCACGACCAGUCACACGGGCACUGAGACACGGGCCCGACUCCUACGGGAGGCAGCAGUAAGGAAUAUUGGUCAAUGGACGCAAGUCUGAACCAGCCAUGCCGCGUGAGGGAUGAAGGUCCUCUGGAUUGUAAACUUCUUUAUCUGGGACGAAAAAGCUCUUUCUAGAGCACUUGACGGUACCAGAGGAAUAAGCACCGGCUAACUCCGUGCCAGCAGCCGCGGUAAUA